Molecule: long non-coding RNA, 1419 nt
Organism: Tympanuchus pallidicinctus (lesser prairie-chicken)
Lineage: Eukaryota; Metazoa; Chordata; Aves; Galliformes; Phasianidae
Exons: 2
Source: RefSeq, a predicted model, not a curated record
UGAACCCUGAAGGAAAAACAAAUGCUGUUAAAGGUGCUAUGUUCGGCUACAGUCUUACACAUCACUGCCUUUGGCAGAAGGCACCAAUGGCACAUCUGGCAGCAACACACCAAAACUAUGCUGGAAGUGGAAAAGCUGCCAAUUGCUGGGACAUUUCAGAAGCCUCUCGAACAUAUUUGGAUUGGAAGGGACUGUUACUGGGUCAUCCAGUCAAGCUGUUUGCAUUGUUCACUGGAUUUACUCAGUUAUUCCAAGCCAUCCCUGAUGGAUGGGUGUCUAGCCUAGCCUUGAAAAAUCUCGUUUCACAACCUCUGUCUUGGCAACUAGUUCCACUGUCUAACUUUUCUCCCAGUUAUAUAAUUUUCUUAAUUUCAGACCAAAUUCUUUCUUCUGCAGCUUAAACCUAUUAACACCCUGACUCCUGACCAACAGGAGUGCUUGAUCCUUGUCCUCUCCAAACCAUCCUUCUGGGUGUAUGCACAUUCCUUGGUGGUCUCUGCUUUAUUCUAGAGACAGUCUACCUUCCCUUGAACAUCUCACAACAUCUUCCAGUGCUUUCACCAGCUUUAAGAUUGUUUUACUUGUUUUUGAAGAUGGAGCCCAAACUGAUGGUUGUUUAAAGUCUCAGCAGUACUCAGUGCAAAAAUGUACAAGAGGAGGUAGUGCAUGCUGUGAAGGCUGUGACUGAACGACGCAAAAGGAAACCCUCAGCCACAAACAAGGUAAGACCAGCCAAGCCUUUACCAGUGCUGUGAGGGCAGGUGGGACAGGAAAGCAGGGUGAAAACAAUGUGAGAACCACUGCACUUAAAAGACAGGGGACUGUUGCCACCUACAAGGAGACAUGGGCCAUAGCUGACCUGCCCACAGCACGCUUUCCUCCACUGUGGCUCUCAAAGCACUCACUGUCUAUGCUUCUCCCCAGCAGGCUGAGGCAGACAGCCUGAGGCAGGGACAUCCUCCCACCUGGCGCUCAGUCUGCUCCUAACCCUGCUGGUGGUACAAGACUUCACUGCUGCCACUCUCCCAGGAGGACCCGUUUGGAAAGAGCAGCUGAGGCCAGCAGAACACAAGAUUUCAGGACAGAGAGAUGUCAGAGCAGACGUUGGAUAGCAUGGCCUUCAGUCCCCUCCAUUUCAGCAUGGCAGUGCUCUCCCAGGCAGCCCAGCUAGAUCAGCACUGGGGAAAUGCCACAUCUACCAGCUGUGUUGUGUCCACUGCAUAAGAACAGGCGGAACUGCCCUGAAAGCAUCACCAACAUCUGACAAGUUCCUUCACAGCACCAGGUUCCACUUGCUAUUCUCUCUAUUCUAUCAAAAGUAUUUAAUAUUGUUCUAACAUAUGCAUAAGAUCUCUAUCUGAUGCCCCCACAAUUCAAAGGAAAAAAUUAUGUGCUCUAUUAAACUGAAAUGUAAUGGGA